GAGCCUGUAAUUUAAAGGUAGAAUAGCUUCUUGAUAAGAAGUCAGUAGAAGUUCAAUUCUUCUCGGGCUUA
This 71-nucleotide transfer RNA is filed under the name Cyathus jiayuguanensis. RNAcentral's name for it is "tRNA-Ile". It matches the Rfam family "tRNA". From Rfam's summary of the family: Transfer RNA (tRNA) molecules are approximately 80 nucleotides in length. Their secondary structure includes four short double-helical elements and three loops (D, anti-codon, and T loops). Further hydrogen bonds mediate the characteristic L-shaped molecular structure. tRNAs have two regions of fundamental functional importance: the anti-codon, which is responsible for specific mRNA codon recognition, and the 3' end, to which the tRNAs corresponding amino acid is attached (by aminoacyl-tRNA synthetases). tRNAs cope with the degeneracy of the genetic code in two manners: having more than one tRNA (with a specific anti-codon) for a particular amino acid; and 'wobble' base-pairing, i.e. permitting non-standard base-pairing at the 3rd anti-codon position. Lineage: Eukaryota; Fungi; Basidiomycota; Agaricomycetes; Agaricales; Nidulariaceae. The record is from RNAcentral.